RNAcentral lists this ribosomal RNA (231 nucleotides) under uncultured bacterium. RNAcentral describes it as "partial 16S ribosomal RNA". It matches the Rfam family "Bacterial small subunit ribosomal RNA", at positions 524 to 755 of the family's 1533-position model. The record is from RNAcentral.
UACGGAGGAUCCAAGCGUUAUCCGGAUUCACUGGGUUUAAAGGGUGCGUAGGUGGGCAGGUAAGUCAGCGAUGAAAUCCCCGAGCUUAACUUGGGAACUGCCAUUGAUACUAUCUAUCUUGAAUAUUGUGAGUAAGCGGAAUAUGUCAUGUAGCGGUGAAAUGCUUAGAUAUGACAUAGAACACCCAUUGCGAAGGCAGCUUACUACGCAUAUAUUGACGCGUGAGGCACG